UGCAUCUUCUGCACUGGAAGGUGGAUUCUUUAGCACCCAGCCACUAGGGAAACCUAAGGAGAGGGGAGGCAGGGGCUCUUGUGCUUGGAAGUCCCGAGUCAAGACAGACCCCCGAGUGAGCCAACCCGCACCAUGCAGGGGCCGUGCACGAGGAGGAGUCUGCGUGGGAUCAUCUGUGGGUUCGGGACUCUCGGAGGGGAAGUGUGAUCUCAAGGGAGAUUUCCUGAAGAGGCCCAGACCCUGAAGCAUUCUCAGUGACUACAGGAGGAGUACUAACCAGCCAAACUGGUUGAUAAAGAAGCACUGUUAUAAGCCCUGGAAGAUGUUUGGUUGCUAUUCUCAAAGAAGUAGGAAACAAUUUAAACAUUUUAAAAAGAAAUGAGUGUUUGUAUAUAUUUUACAGAAGAAUUCUCUAGUUUAAAACCAGAAUUAUCCCAGCUUUCAUGGUUAGUUAUGGAUUGGAAACAAUUAAUUAAGAGUUACACAGGAAGUUGGAGACUGCUGUGAUGUUGCAGGUGGGAGAUGGUGGUGUCUGGGACCACAUGGUGGCAGCUGGACUGGAGGACAGAAAAGGAAGAGUCUGGAGGAAUCAUCAGUGAUUUCCGGUUUCCUUCCCUUUUCUUCUUUCUUUUUGACAUAAGAACUGGUACAUUAUGAUGACAUCUAUGGAGAUGGGGAUAAUGGGAAAAGAAAAAAAUCAAAGGCAAAAAUCAAGAUUUCUGUCUUAGUCAAAUUUAAGUUUGAAAUGUGUAUUACAAAACAAAGUUCAUAAGAGAGGUGUGUGUGGACUAGAGGCAUAAUUGGGGGAGUUAUUGACACACAGAUAAAGUGUGUACAAUCAUCCUGGUUUGCCCAGGACUGUCCUUGUUGUCGUGCUAAAAGUUCUAAGAUUUGGGGGUCCUCUUACUCCUUGGAAGACUGGAGAAGCUACCUUGGAAGACUGGGGUGACUGGGGUACCAUCUCCCCAUGGUGUAGAUGGUAUUUACACUGUGAAAUUGGAAGAGCUACCAAGGAAAUCAAACACAAGGAUCGCACCAGGCAAGUAUUAAGAGGAGAGAGAAUCUUAGAAGAGCUAAGCAGUGAGGUAGGUAAGGGCAAGACAGAGAAGCCUCAAAUAUCAGGAAACCAGAGGAAGAGAGAAUGUUGGCCGUAGGACGCUAGUGGAUGUCAAGAGGAUGGAAUAGCAGAUUUGGCAAGAUGAUGGUCUUAAGUGACUCUAACAAGAAUAGAUUCUUGGGAGUGAUGGGAAAAAACUUACAGUGUCAUUAAGUUGAAAAGUGAAUGACAGGAUGUGAAUUGCUAAGUACUAAGAAAGUCAUCCUGAGUAGUUUUGCAAUGAAGGGGAACAGAGAAAUGGGCAGUAGUUAGAAAAGUUUAGAAAGAGUAUAAAGAUGUUUAUGAUUUUAUUUGAGGAAGUAAAACUCCUAUGUAAGUGCAGUCAGAUUGCCAGGCAAUUCUGUAUGAAAGUUUUAAGUAUCUGUAUGAAAUGUUAAAUAUCUGUAUGUUUUUGUUGUUCAGUCGCUAAGUCCUAACUCUUUGUAACCCCAUGGGCUGCAGCACACCAGACCUCCCUGUCAAUAUCUGUAUAAAAAUUUUAGCGCAAAUGUGAAGUGGUUUUAUUUCUCCUAAUUGUUAAUCUACAAUUACAUUUAGCUUCUCAGAUGCUGGCAUGAAAAAAGUUUUUAAAUGCUUUCAGCCAAUGUUUACAUUUUUCAAGGGGAAGAUGCUAGAGAAAAAAAGGCAAAGAAGAUAAAAUACUUAAAAGGGAAUAAUUUAAACUAGGAAACAUGGAUUAAAAGCCUGGUUAAAGGGGGAAAAGGAGAUAUAUGUAGGUUGGAAGAGAGUGAAAAGUGAAGUCAAUGGUUUGAUGUUUCAUUGAAGUUAAAGAAUUCUUGCAAAAUGAGUACCUGAGACUGAAAACUGAAUGAACGCAGGUGGCAGCCGGAGAAGGAAGUGACUGGUUUUAAGACUUCAGGUGUGGUGAGCUACUGCUGAUACAACCAGCAUCACUGGCUGGGACGAGGCGGAGGAACAGGUGACGGAAGGUAAGGAAGGGGCUGACAGGCAGAGGAAAUAGUUCAUCCACAUGCUCCUAAAGUUACCAAAAAUGAUCGCAUGAAUCAAGAUGGAGAAGAAGAGAAUGAGUCAACAGUAAAUUUAAGGGAGUAACUGGGUCAAAAUGUGAGAAUAAGGAGAUGCAGCGGGUGGUUUGGUCUGGUGGUACAAGCCGCAUGUGGGACGGGAGUGAUGAGCAGCCAGUGCCUUACCUGGUCCUGUGCUACAUGCCGUAUAACAGGAAAAACCAAAACAGAACUCCUCUGUGUCAGACAAAGAAAACGGUAGCAUCAGGACCGAAGGCAAGGAGUUAAAGACGACAUUCAGUGAAGAGUUGGAAUUGAUACGGAUCCUCAGGAUAACAUAUUCUUAGGAUUGGCUGCCUAAUUUUUCAGGGCCCAAGGCAAAAUGGAAAUGCAGGACAUCAUAUUGAAGAAUCACACACACAUACACACACUCCUAUGAAUACUAUUCAGCCAUGAGAAAACAGGAGAUCAUGGUAUGUGUGACAAUACAGAUGGACCUUUAGGUUUUAUGCUAAGUGAAAGAGCCAAGCAGAGACAAAUACUGCUCUGUGUGAUAUGAUAUAUAUAUGUGGAAUUAAAAAACAAAACAGUAAAACUCAUACAAAUAGAGAAUUGAAAAGAAGCACCCAAAAUGGGAAGAGCGUGGUAAAAGGGUGUAAACUUUCAGCUGUUGGGUGAAUAAAGUCUGAAGAUCUAAAGUAAAGCAGGGUGACUGUAGUUAACACUGUAAGGUAUGGUUUUGAAUCCUUAGCAUUCUCAGUCAUCUUUCAUGUUGCUACUUUCUAAAGAGGAAAGACACUUCAUUCUUUAGGAAGUUUCUAGACAUGGAUUUUUGCCAUGUUGAUGUUUGUAGUGGAUGAAGUAGAAGCCUCAGGGCAUGAGAUGACUUCUGCUUCAUGGAGCCAAUCCUCGAAACCCACAUUUCAAACAAGUGUAUAGUCAGAAAUCAUUUGAGUAAGUUAUCUGAUAAAAGUUUACGAAAUAUAAUUGGGUUUAUGAUGGUGCUUUCACAAAAGAAAAAAGUACUCAUAUAUGGAUGAAUUUUUACACAUUGAAAAACUAUGGCCCUUGGAAAAUUUUGUGAUCGAAUUUCUUAGCACUACAUUUUGCUGUGGCUCUAUACCUAAGGACUCAAUGAUCUCACCAUGAAUUACUUGGCGUGUAAGCCAAAUUGGUUAUCUUAUUUAUGACAGAAUCUCAGCUUAUUCUUUGUCUCCAGAUACUUUCACACUGUUGUGUGUGUGAGGGAUUGGGAGAAGAAAAAAAUGCAAUUAAUUUCAGUCAAACUGAUUAUUUACAAAUCCUUUUUAAAAAAGACACAGCUGGUUGAGUGAUUUAUUGGCUGACGUAAUCUUUGUGCUUAUGGAAAUAUGAAUUGAUUAAUGCUCUCUGUCUAAACUUUGCUUUUGUUUUAAUGGACUAGUAAUAAAUAGGAAUUUUGGUCAGUUUGAUGUAAUCCAAAGUAGAAAACAAAGGACAAGUAAUGAGUGGGCCUCCUAAUUUAUUUUAAGGCACUCCCUGGAGUAGAGGAUUUCCUUUCCAGCUAUGCAUUCUAGAUGACUGUAUCUGUUAGCACAGUUGUAUGUGUGACACCUUGUAAUGGCACAGCUAGGUUAAAGUAGAGAAAAUACAUUCAGACUCUUUCUAGUUUUAGCAUUACUGAAAAAUGGAAUUUUUCAUUAAUUAUAUUUCUUAGUUAACAGAAUUAUUUUGUACACAACACAUUUCAAAGAAUUUAGAAUUCACUAAAAUAUACAGUAGUGCUACUGUAUAAAUUGUAUCUUUCUAUUAUCUUCAUAUCCACCUUCUGGAAUUUAAGUUGAUGAUAGAGUAUAUUUUAGUUGGCAUUAUGGUCUGAAUUAUAUUCCUUUCAAAAUUCGUAUGUUGGAGCCCUAAGCUCCAAUAUAACUAAAUUUGGAGAUGGGGCUUUUAAAGCAGUAAUUGGGAAUUCCACGGACAGAGGAGCCUGACAGGCUACAGUCCGUGGGGUUGCAGAGAGUCGGACAUAACUGAGCAACUAACAGUUUCACUUUACUUUUUCAAGGUUAAAUGAGGUCAUCUUGGAUCAAUAGGACUAGUGUCUAUGAGAAGAGGAAGAGAUUACAGGAAUGCACAUGAACAGAGGACAGGCCAUGUGAGAACAUACCAAGAAGGCAGCCAUCUGCAAGCCCAGGAGAGAGGCCUCAGAAGACAUGAAGCCUGCCAGCACCUGGAUCUUGCACGUCCAGCCUGCAGAACAGUGAGAACAAAGUUAUGCUACUUAAGACACCUCUGUGAGUACUCAGGCUGAUGCCAGUCUGGUUGAGCAAUGCCAACAAAUCAAAGCUGUCAAUGAAGAUGGUAUAUCCCAAAGUUCCUACAGCUUUACGUUCCUCAUCUUACGCCUACUUAAUCACGUGGAUUAAUCACGUGCACUCGGUGAGCUGGCACAACAGGUGGAAGGGGACACGGCAGAGGACACUCACAGGGUAGCCGUCCAGGGGAGGACUGCGCAGUGGCCGUUCUCCCGGUGGGAGCGCCGCGGAUCACAGACACAGCGAAGCACCAGACCUGGAGGCCUCUCCUCCAACCCCAGGAAGCAGACCCCACCCCUGACAGGCGCACGGACGCCCGCAGAGCAGAGGGAGGCCCUGCUCUAUAGCCAGGCAGGCUCUGGUCACCGCCACACCAAUCCGACUCCCUGCUGCUAAGUCGCGUCAAUCGUGUCCGACUCUGUGCGACCCCAGAGACGGCCGCCCACCAGGCUCCCUCCUCCCUGGGAUUCUCCAGGCAAGAACACUGGAGUGGGUUGCCACUGCCUUCUCCGAAUGAGACUCCCCAGCAAGGGGAUGAUCGCACAAGUCUCUAGACCAACCUCACCCACCGGGAAGCAGACACCAGAAGAAGAAGACAGAUGCUUAUGUCAUGCCAGCCCCAGUACCUAACCUACAUCCUAAUGGGAAGGGCAGUGCGGCAAAUACUCUUCUUUCUCUUACUUGGUUCAUUUUAAAUUUAUAGACUUUAAAACUAUUUAUCAACUAACUUCCUUCCUCCCUUCCUUCCUUCCUCUUUUUUCCCAAAUAAUCUUAAAUUUUCUCCUGAGGGGAAUACCAGUUUUCUCCUCACUGUUCAUGUAGUACGUGCUCCCUACUAAUUCUUUUUCACCAUAAACAUAGAGGCUGCGGAUGCCAUUUUUUAAAAAUUCAAAACAACUAAUAGUGGUAAACUCUGUAAUUUCUUUCAAAAUAUAUUCUGCAAAAUAAGUGCUUGACAUUAUAUUGGAAAUAAAAUGCUCAAAUUAAGAGAAGGAAGGAAAUGAGUAUUUAUUCGAGGAUCUACUAUGUGCCAGAAGUUUUCUGUACAUGAAUUCUUUUAAUCCUCAUCACAGCACUGGGUGAGAGCUGUUAUUCUUUCCAAUUUGUGUUUCAGCAACUGAAAUUGAGACACUUGGUAGCUCACUCAGCAUGCCAUAGCUACCAAAUCUGUAUGACUCCAAAGUCAUACAGAUUUAGGAUGACUUUCCCAUUUUCUUAUAUACCAGUGUCCCCUCCCUUAAUUUUGCAAAUGAGACCCAUGAGGUGCAGAGAGACCAGGGGGCUUAAACUGGUGUCUGGGUUUGAAUUGGAUAAUAGGUCCUCUGACUCAGUUCAUCCCACUAAGCCACUGGGAAUACAAAGAUGAGGGGGGGAAACUCAUGAAAUUGACCCUAAAAUUAAAAUUCACAUGAAAAUGUCUGUAAGAAAAUUUACUGUGUUCAUUUUUUUGAGGCAUGGAAUCUGUUAAUAUAUUUCCUGUCUGUUACUGAGAAGAAAAUCUCAUGUGAUUCCUCCUCAUGUUUCUUUUCCUUUAGUGCCAUGAAUGUUAUUUUUAAGAAAUUUUGGAUCUGGAUGCUGGCUACACAACUUUCUCAUCUCCAUGGCACUGGGGCAUAGGUCAGAUUGUGCUGGGCCAAACUCCAAAUAUAUAGCAUGAAUUUUCUAUUUUACAGCUAUUAAGGCAAACUGACCUCAGAAAUUUGUGCAACCGUUCAAAGAAUGAGCCUUAUCUUAUUCUUAUUUCUCUCUCUACCUUUUUCCUCCAACAUCAGAACUGGAACACAGAAGCUACUCCUAGUACAGUGAAUA
Non-coding RNA from Odocoileus virginianus texanus, 6185 nucleotides. Lineage: Eukaryota; Metazoa; Chordata; Mammalia; Artiodactyla; Cervidae. The record is from RefSeq and is a predicted model, not a curated record.